AUAGGGGACACAAGGUAUACCUGUCUGUGUGAUAGGAGUUGGAUGGGACGCCAUCACUUGUGUGUGUUGUGAUUACAAGAAGGUUAACAACCUUUAGUAGUGUCUUAAUUUGGACACGCAACACUUAGUUCAUUUGUUCAUAUUGGUCUCCCAGUCAUCCUUUUAUUUCAAAUGAAAGCUAUUCUGAAAACUCAUUGAUUGGUAAUCAUCAUCGUGAAAGACUUCUAUAUAUCCAAGAAAG
RNAcentral lists this long non-coding RNA (241 nucleotides) under Daucus carota (carrot). Its description in RNAcentral is "long non-coding RNA (DCAR_LNC004152)". The record is from RNAcentral. Lineage: Eukaryota; Viridiplantae; Streptophyta; Magnoliopsida; Apiales; Apiaceae.